AGAGUUUGAUCCUGGCUCAGGAUGAACGCUAGCUACAGGCUUAACACAUGCAAGUCGAGGGGCAGCAUGGUCUUAGCUUGCUAAGGCCGAUGGCGACCGGCGCACGGGUGAGUAACGCGUAUCCAACCUGCCUUACACUCUUGGACAGCCUUCUGAAAGGGAGAUUAAUACAAGAUGUUAUCAUGAGUAAGCAUUUUCACAUGAUUAAAGGUUUACCGGUGUAAGAUGGGGAUGCGUUCCAUUAGAUAGUAGGCGGGGUAACGGCCCACCUAGUCUUCGAUGGAUAGGGGUUCUGAGAGGAAGGUCCCCCACAUUGGAACUGAGACACGGUCCAAACUCCUACGGGAGGCAGCAGUGAGGAAUAUUGGUCAAUGGACGAGAGUCUGAACCAGCCAAGUAGCGUGAAGGAUGAAGGUUCUAUGGAUUGUAAACUUCUUUUAUACGGGAAUAAACGAAUCCACGUGUGGAUUUUUGCAUGUACCGUAUGAAUAAGGAUCGGCUAACUCCGUGCCAGCAGCCGCGGUAAUACGGAGGAUCCGAACGUUAUCCGGAUUUAUUGGGUUUAAAGGGAGCGUAGAUGGGUUGUUAAGUCAGUUGUGAAAGUUUGCGGCUCAACCGUAAAAUUGCAAUUGAUACUGGCAGUCUUGAGUACAGUUGAGGUAGGCGGAAUUCGUGGUGUAGCGGUGAAAUGCUUAGAUAUCACGAAGAACUCCGAUUGCGAAGGCAGCUUACUAACCUGUAACUGACAUUGAUGCUCGAAAGUGUGGGUAUCAAACAGGAUUAGAUACCCUGGUAGUCCACACGGUAAACGAUGAAUACUCGCUGUAGGCGAUAUACAGUCUGCGGCCAAGCGAAAGCAUUAAGUAUUCCACCUGGGGAGUACGCCGGCAACGGUGAAACUCAAAGGAAUUGACGGGGGCCCGCACAAGCGGAGGAACAUGUGGUUUAAUUCGAUGAUACGCGAGGAACCUUACCUGGGCUUAAAUUGCAACCGAAUAUGGCGGAAACGCUAUAGCUAGCAAUAGCGGUUGUGAAGGUGCUGCAUGGUUGUCGUCAGCUCGUGCCGUGAGGUGUCGGCUUAAGUGCCAUAACGAGCGCAACCCUUGCCGAUAGUUACUAACAGGUUAUGCUGAGGACUCUGUCGGGACUGCCAUCGUAAGAUGUGAGGAAGGUGGGGAUGACGUCAAAUCAGCACGGCCCUUACGUCCGGGGCUACACACGUGUUACAAUGGGGGGUACAGAGGGCUGCUACCACGCAAGUGGAUGCCAAUCCCAAAAACCUCUCUCAGUUCGGAUUGAAGUCUGCAACCCGACUUCAUGAAGCUGGAUUCGCUAGUAAUCGCGCAUCAGCCACGGCGCGGUGAAUACGUUCCCGGGCCUUGUACACACCGCCCGUCAAGCCAUGGGAGCCGGGGGUACCUGAAGUGCGUAACCGCAAGGAGCGCCCUAGGGUAAAACUGGUGACUGGGGCUAAGUCGUAACAAGGUAGCCG
This 1492-nucleotide ribosomal RNA is filed under the name uncultured bacterium. RNAcentral describes it as "16S ribosomal RNA". It matches the Rfam family "Bacterial small subunit ribosomal RNA". The record is from RNAcentral.